RNAcentral lists this ribosomal RNA (478 nucleotides) under uncultured bacterium. RNAcentral's name for it is "partial 16S ribosomal RNA". It matches the Rfam family "Bacterial small subunit ribosomal RNA", at positions 28 to 507 of the family's 1533-position model. The record is from RNAcentral.
GAUGAACGCUGGCGGCGUGCUUAACACAUGCAAGUCGAACGGGAAACCUGUUAUUGACGCUUCUGCAGAUUUGGCUGGUUUCGAGUGGCGGACGGGUGAGUAACGCGUGGGUAACCUGCCUUAUACAGGGGGAUAACAGUCAGAAAUGGCUGCUAAUACCGCAUAAGCGCACAGAGCUGCAUAGCUCAGUUUGAAAAACUCCGGUGGUAUAAGAUGGACCCGCGUUGGAGUGGCUGGUUGGUGGGGUAACGGCCCACCAAGGCGACGAUCCAUAGCCGGCCUGAGAGGGUGCACGGCUACAUUGGGAAUGCGACCCAGACCCGAAUCCUACGGGACGAUGCAGUGGGGAAUACUGCACACUGGGGGCAAACCUGAUGCCGCCACGCGGGGUGAAGGAAGAAGUAGCUAGGUAUGUACACUUCGAUAAGAAGGGACGAUAAUGACGGUACCUGAAGAAGAAGCACCGGCUAACUACGUG